Molecule: unclassified non-coding RNA, 241 nt
Filed under: plant metagenome
Description: partial contains small subunit ribosomal RNA, internal transcribed spacer 1, and 5.8S ribosomal RNA
Source: RNAcentral
UUUCCGUAGGUGAACCUGCGGAAGGACCAUUAUUGAAUGAAGCACUUCUGGCUUUAUGCUGUUGUGCUGGCCCUUUGGGCAAUGUGCACACGGCUCUGGUCUCUUGUUUCUUCUGUUCCACCUGUGCACUGCCUGUAGACACGCUGUGUCUAUGAUAUUUGUUAACACACAACAAUGUUAGUUGGCAUGUUAUAUAUAAUAAUAAAAUAUACAACUUUCAACAACGGAUCUCUUGGCUCUC